CGGAGGCAGCAGUGAGGAAUCUUCGGCAAUGGGGGCAACCCUGACCGAGCAACGCCGCGUGAGUGAAGAAGGUUUUCGGAUCGUAAAGCUCUGUUGUAAGAGAAGAACGUGUGUGAGAGUGGAAAGUUCACACAGUGACGGUAACUUACCAGAAAGGGACGGCUAACUACGUGCCAGCAGCCGCGGUAAUACGUAGGUCCCGAGCGUUGUCCGGAUUUAUUGGGCGUAAAGCGAGCGCAGGCGGUUUAAUAAGUCUGAAGUUAAAGGCAGUGGCUUAACCAUUGUUCGCUUUGGAAACUGUUAAACUUGAGUGCAGAAGGGGAGAGUGGAAUUCCAUGUGUAGCGGUGAAAUGCGUAGAUAUAUGGAGGAACACCGGUGGCGAAAGCGGCUCUCUGGUCUGUAACUGACGCUGAGGCUCGAAAGCGUGGGGAGCAAACAGGAUUAGAUACCCGUGUAGUCA
This 461-nucleotide ribosomal RNA is filed under the name uncultured bacterium. Its description in RNAcentral is "bacterial SSU rRNA". It matches the Rfam family "Bacterial small subunit ribosomal RNA", at positions 343 to 796 of the family's 1533-position model. The record is from RNAcentral.